Molecule: small RNA, 574 nt
Filed under: Pan troglodytes (chimpanzee)
Lineage: Eukaryota; Metazoa; Chordata; Mammalia; Primates; Hominidae
Description: processed transcript
Source: RNAcentral
AGGAACAAGAACAGCAAAGGGCAGAGCAGACCUGCGCCAGGGGCGCACAACGGCCGUGUCCACCUCCCGGCCCCAAGAUGGUGCUUCCCACAGGCAGCCACGCGUAGCAGCCAGAGACAGCUCCAGACAUGUGGCUCUUCUUCGAGAUCACUGGAUUGCUGACGGCAGCCCUCUCAGGUCAUCCAUCUCCAGCCCCACCUGACCAGCUCAACACCAGCAGUGCAGAGAGUGAGCUCUGGGAGCCAGUCGCUGGCAGCCAGGGUCCUCUGCUCAGAUUCCCGGAGUUUGCACAAUCUGUCCACUCCCGAAGUCCCUGCAAGUGUUCAGACAGUCACUAUAGAAUCUUCUGUGACAGUGAAAAUAGAGAACAAGGAAUCUCGGGAGCUAAUGCUCCUCAUCCCCUCCAUCGUUCUGGGAAUUCUCCUCCUUGGCUCCCUCAUCUUCAUAGCCUUCAUCCUCUUGAGAAUUAAAGGAAAAUAUGCCCUCCCCGUAAUGGUGAACCACCAGCACCUACCCACCACCAUCCCGGCAGGGAGCAAUAGCUAUCAACCGGUCCCCAUCACCAUCCCCAAAG